Molecule: long non-coding RNA, 2303 nt
Organism: Homo sapiens (human)
Lineage: Eukaryota; Metazoa; Chordata; Mammalia; Primates; Hominidae
Exons: 4
Source: RefSeq, a predicted model, not a curated record
UCUUGGGCAGGGAUUCUGGGCCAGAAUGAGCCUGGCUGGUUUGGGGAAGUUUAUUUUGGAAGCUGGGAUGAUGCAAAAUUAAGUGGGGAGGAAAAAAUAGAUGAGGCGACCGAGAGGGUCUGUCUGUGGCUGGCGGGGCUGUAAGUGGCCAGCGAGAAGUGCGUUGUUGGGUAAACAGAUGGGGGUGGCAGCUUUCUGCACGCUCGCUAUAAAUAUCCCGCAGUUUGCCGCCCCUGCUGGGGUUUCCUGGCACCGUGGGUGUGGAGAUCAAGGUACAGACACAGGGCACUUCCGGAGUGGCAGAGGGUGGCCAGGGCCCUGCUCAGAUCCCAGCCUCCUGGGGGUGGAGUGGGCACCGGGAACUGAGGCUGAGGCCCGAGUGGGGGCGGGAGAUGCUUCUUUGCUAUUAACUGGCUGUGGUUCUUGGGCAAGCCCUGUGACUUCCGUGGGCCUCAAUUUCUUCACCUGUAAGAUGGGCAUGAUAAAAUGAGGCAGGGCAUGUGUCGCUGCUGGCACAGGGACAGGCACCCUGGAGACACUCAGGAAAUGAUCAAGUGCUUAGGCGCUGUGUGACCUGGGCGAGUUCUCUCGUUGCCCUGAGUCUCAAUUUCUUCAUUUCUUCUUCCAAAAUAUGGGGAGAAGAACCACUGUCUGGAGGCUGAAAUGGAACCAUGGGUCUGGCACUGGACUUGCAAUGUGUGUGGUAUUUCAGGACAAAGUUGGGGCCCGGCUGGAGCCCUCCCCCAGCCCUCUGCAGCUGCUAUGGGAUUUGUCUCAUCUCUGCAGUAUGGUAGUGAUGAUAAUGGUGAUAAUAGCAGCCAGGCCCACUGCGAGCCUUUUGGUGACCCAAGGGCUUUGUAAACUGUUAUCUGAGUUCUUCGUUAUCUCAGCUGAUUUUCCCACCUCCUCACCUCUUACAGAUAAAGAAUCCGAGGCGCAGAGAGGUGGCACUGCUGGAAGGAACAGAGCCAGAUCCACAAGAUCCUUCAUUCCGACAAUAAAUAUUCACUGAAGAUCUGCCACAUGUCAGGCCCCAGCCCAGGUGCUGGGGAUUUAGCAGAAAACCAGCCAGACCCAUUUCCUGCAUCCAUGGAGUGCACAGGCUGGUGGGGGAGAUGGGCUAGAAAUCCAUGAACCAAAUUAUACUGAGACGAGCGAGCACCGAGCGCCUAGCGUGGACUGCGACCGCUCGGGCUCCUGUAUCUGUGACAGAUGUGCUUGGGCUCCUCGUAGGACCGAGGGACUUUGUUAUCCACACCACUGGCCUUGAAGUUGGCUGCUACCUGAUGAGAUGAAUUAAGAACAUACCAGCACUUUGGGAGGCUGAAGUGGGUGGAUCACGAGAUCAGGAAAUUGAGGUCCAGUGAGGUGUCUUGGCCAGGACACUCAGUCAGGACGUGACAUGAACACAGGACUGUCUGACUUCAAAUCCAGUGCUCCUUCCCCUGCAGUCCCCACCCCACUGACUGGGGGACAGUGCUCCAGGCAGCUGGAAUGGGACACGGUUUGUGUGGCAGCGAGAUAUCCAGGCUCUCCUCCUUCCAGAUCUAAGGUAGGAAUGCACUUCCCACCCCCUUGAAGUUAGAGGUGGCUGUGUGACUGGCUUCGGCCAGCAAAAUGUGACAGCAAGCAACAACUAGCAGGAUGGGGGUGACUUGGGACCUGGGUGGGGACAACACAGAGCAGAUGGGGCUUUGGGGUCUCUCCCACUGCUCUCCCAUCCAUAGGCAUGCGGUGUGAACAGGAGCAAUCCCUUCACAGUGUGGAGCCACCGGCUUUGGAGUUGUUUGUGGCUGCAGUGUGUAACCCAGCAUCUCCUGACUGAUGUUAUAGGUUCUGCCGGAGGGGCAAAUGCGGGCAGCAAGGGCUUGCAGCCCUGGAAUUAACAAAUGAGAUUCAAACCCAGGUCUGCUUGACUAGGAAGGCCGGCCCUCUCCAUGGUGCCAGGACAACUCUUUGGAGAAGAUGCCCCUCUCUCUGCCUGCCUGAAUCUUCUCCGUCCACAAAGGCCUGCUCCAUCCUCCCUCCUCCAGGAAGCUUUCCCUGACUGUCCCCGGGCCCAGCCAGGGUGUCUGGGGGGCUGGAGAGACCCACAGAGCCCUGAUCACCGUGGCUGGCCCGUAAGUGUGGCGACUGAGUCCCAGUCUGGAGGCACAGCUGGACUUUCCCAGAGAGAACUGAGGCAUUGUGGGAAUUUCCCAGCUGUGACCCCAGGACCCUGAUUGCCCAGAAUGGCUCCAAGUUCACAUAUCUAGGGACCGUCACCAAGACUCCUGUAUCUAUAUUAAACUCGGUAAAUGUGA